RNAcentral lists this small nuclear RNA (229 nucleotides) under Erinaceus europaeus (western European hedgehog). RNAcentral's name for it is "7SK RNA". The stretch from base 1 to 176 matches the Rfam family "7SK RNA". Rfam says of the family: 7SK was discovered as an abundant small nuclear RNA in the mid-70s but a possible function has only recently been suggested. Two independent studies have found that 7SK RNA binds the CDK9/cyclin T complex (known as elongation factor P-TEFb). The record is from Rfam by way of RNAcentral. Lineage: Eukaryota; Metazoa; Chordata; Mammalia; Eulipotyphla; Erinaceidae.
GGAUGUGAGGGCGAUCUGGCUGCGACAUCUGUCACACCAUUGAUCGCCAGGGUUGAUUCGGCUGAUCUGGCUGGCGAGGCGGAUGUCCCCUUCCUCCCUCACCGCUCCAUGUACUUCCCUCCCGGAGGGUAGAAGAGGAUGGCCUUCCCUGCUAGAGCCUCCAAACAAGCUCUCAAAGUCCCAAGUUCAAUCUCCCACACCACCAUCAUUCAGAUCUGAGCAGCCCUCU